GACGAACGCUGGCGGCGUGCUUAACACAUGCAAGUCGAGCGGUAAGGCCCUUUCGGGGGUACACGAGCGGCGAACGGGUGAGUAACACGUGGUGACCUGCCUCAGCUCUGGGAUAAGCCUGGGAAACCGGGUCUAAUACUGGAUAUGACUCCAUGACGCAUGUUGUGGGGUGGAAAGCCUUGUGCGGCUGAGGAUGGGCCCGCGGCCUAUCAGCUUGUUGGUGGGGUGAUGGCCUACCAAGGCGACGACGGUAGCCGG
This 258-nucleotide ribosomal RNA is filed under the name uncultured bacterium. Its description in RNAcentral is "partial 16S ribosomal RNA". It matches the Rfam family "Bacterial small subunit ribosomal RNA", at positions 28 to 290 of the family's 1533-position model. The record is from RNAcentral.